Molecule: ribosomal RNA, 821 nt
Filed under: uncultured soil bacterium
Lineage: Bacteria
Description: bacterial SSU rRNA
Rfam family: Bacterial small subunit ribosomal RNA
Source: RNAcentral
CGGGUGGAUGAGUGGCGAACGGGUGAGUAACACGUGAGUAACCUGCCCCUGACUUCGGGAUAAGCCCGGGAAACUGGGUCUAAUACCGGAUACGACUGCCGGACGCAUGUCUGGUGGUGGAAAGUUUUUUCGGUUGGGGAUGGGCUCGCGGCCUAUCAGUUUGUUGGUGAGGUAAUGGCUCACCAAGACGACGACGGGUAGCCGGCCUGAGAGGGCGACCGGCCACACUGGGACUGAGACACGGCCCAGACUCCUACGGGAGGCAGCAGUGGGGAAUAUUGCACAAUGGGGGAAACCCUGAUGCAGCGACGCAGCGUGCGGGAUGACGGCCUUCGGGUUGUAAGCCGCUUUCAGCAGGGAAGAAGCGCAAGUGACGGUACCUGCAGAAGAAGUACCGGCUAACUACGUGCCAGCAGCCGCGGUAAUACGUAGGGUACGAGCGUUGUCCGGAACUAUUGGGCGUAAAGAGCUCGUAGGUGGUUGGUCACGUCUGCUGUGGAAACGCAACGCUUAACGUUGCGCGUGCAGUGGGUACGGGCUGACUAGAGUGCAGUAGGGGAGUCUGGAAUUCCUGGUGUAGCGGUGAAAUGCGCAGAUAUCAGGAGGAACACCGGUGGCGAAGGCGGGACUCUGGGCUGUAACUGACACUGAGGAGCGAAAGCAUGGGGAGCGAACAGGAUUAGAUACCCUGGUAGUCCAUGCCGUAAACGUUGGGCACUAGGUGUGGGGGGCAUUCCACGUUCUCCGCGCCGUAGCUAACGCAUUAAGUGCCCCGCCUGGGGAGUACGGUCGCAAGGCUAAAACUCAAAGGAAUUGACGGA